UCCCUCCACAUCCUGCCAACGCUUGUGACCAGGUUCCUGCUUCCCCUAGUGUCCUUCUCCUGCCCUGGGACCCGAUCAGGACCCCGUGUGUCACCGUCACCACACCCCCUCUGGGCUCCCUGGACGGUGUUGAGAGGAGUGGUGAGGUUUCAUGGGCUGCCCCUCAGCUGGGACUGUCAGUUCUCCUUGUUCUGUGACGGGGUGGGGCCAGGAGGACGCUCCAGGAGGGCCUGUCCUCCGCCCCCUCCAGGUCUGUGCCCUCAACAGGCCCUGGCUGCUGCCCUGGCCUUGGUCUCCUGCCGAGUUGGGGCGUCUCCCCUUCCCCGCUGGAGGGCAAGUGUCCACCUGCUGUGGUUUUUGAGGGGUUUGUGGGGCCUGUGGGCUGUGCAGGAAGCCUGGGCCUCUGAGGAAGACAGACAAUGGAAACAGGGAGGGGACAGGCCACCACUGGCAGCUGGGCAGGAAACAGGCACAGAGAGAAGACAGGAAGUCCCCAGGAGAAAGGAGUGAACGGGGGACGAGGGCCGGCCACUCUGGGAGCCAGGCCAGGUGCAGGAGGGACCUAACUGGGCAUUGAGAUGUGUGGCCGGACAUGUCCCCUGGUUGGCCCGGGCACUGCAAUGGGCACUGGGACUCAGGUCUGCGACAUCAGCAGGGUCAUCCACAGGGGCUUUGGUGGGGACACCGAGGCUGCAGCCCCAGAUGCACAAGGAGACCCACCUGGCCUCAGCCAUGGCUGCCCGCUGUGUGCUGACUGGGCUCUGGUCAGGCCCACUCUGUCCUUGGCUGCAGACCUUGACUUUUAUAACUGACAGGUAUGAGGCCCCCAGUAGAACAAGGAGCCACAUGGAAAGUCGGCCACUGCAGGGGUGCCGGGAGGCCUGCUCGCAUCCUGGUGACUGCCUGGGGACCCUGGCCAUGCCACGGACCGUGGCAGCUGUUCAACGGGCGGAGAUCCUGGCAUGGGCGGGUGGAGAGCUGCCCAGCUCCCUCCAGCCCAAGACACCACCGAAAAAUGACUCAGCCACAUGUCCGUGGUCCUCAGGGUGGCCCCACUGUCCCCUGAAAUCGUGCCCCUGGGUUGGGCCCCACUUCAGUGAAUUCUGGGGGAGACUGGUCUGUGUCCCACAGGAAGCCCAGCAGGUCCCGUGGAGUCCAGGGCAGGAUGAGCAGACACCCCAGGUUUCAUCACCGGCGACACAGGAAACCAGAGACAGUGGCUCUCAGUGGUGACGCCACCAUCAUCAAUAGUUUACAGCAGGUAAUGGACACUCGACCUGGGUCUCAGGCUCAGGUGGCCACAGUACAGCUGCCAACCUGGGGCUGUGUCAGAACAGGAGGGCAGCUGACUCCUGCCCACAGGCCCCAAAGACCCAGAAGCCAGCAGUGCACUUUCUGAUGGGCCUGGUCUCAGCUGAAGGAGGCCCCAAGGCCCUUCCUGCACUGGCCAGGGCUGACAGGGCAGAGGUUGGGAGGACGGUAGGGAAGGGGGCAGAGCCAGCCACUGCUACACCUGCUGCACUCCGACCCAGAGACAGGGAGAGACACUCAGCCCCUUUGAGCACAGGGAGGGGCCAGGUGCAGGGGGCCACGCCUCCUACCUCAGCGACCCAGGGGGCUGCGGCAGGGCAUGCAAGGUCCAGGCCGGUCUGGGCCAUGCAGCCAGAAGGCAUCCCAAGCUAAAUCUGGCUGGGAUGCAGUCCAGGGGAAGAGCACCUGGGUUUAACCCCAGCACCGUUAGCCCCAGGGAGACACUCACGUGCCCUGGGGUGACUAUGACCAAAAGAUGUCACGAGGGAGAGCUGCCAGCACUGUGCAGAGGUCAGCAGCCUCAGGACCACCACUGCUGGUGACCAGCCUGGCAGCGCCACCAAGGUGAAAUGCAGUCACCACCAGGGCCAGCAACCCCUCCUAGUGGAUGCCUGAGUCCAGAACAGACAGCCGACACACAAAGGGUGCACACGGAAACAGCCAAGGUCCACCAACAGGAGGUGGACACACAGCCUGGCCACGCACACCUGGAGCGUCCUGGCCAGGGCAGGAGCGAGGUGACACACUGCAGCAUGGGUGGACCUGAGGACCACGUGCUCAGUGACAGCCAGGCACACAAGGCCCAGUGACAGAGGAGUCCAGGGCAGGAGGCUCCAGAAAUCGACGUGCACCCGCGGGUGCGACGGGGCUUGCUUUUUCCCUGAAGCUUUCAUGAAUGUGUCUCUCUAGAGAUCAUGAAUAUCACAUGUCAUUGUCACAACUCCAUAGCCCGAUGGAAGGGAGCUGAACACGCCUGUCAACAGACACUCAAUGUCCUCUUUCAGAGUAUUUCCUAUGGAAAGUAAGUUCAUCUGCAGAGGUGUGUGUGAGUGUGUGUGUGUGUGAGUGAGUGUGUGUGCCUCUGUGUGUGUCUCUCUGUGUGUCAGAGUGUGUGUCUCUGUGUGUGUCUGUGUGUGUGCAUCUGUGUGUGUGAGUGUGUCUCUGUGUGUGUCUGUGUGUGUGCAUCUGUGUGUGUGUGACUGUGUCUGUGUGUCUGUGUGUGUGUCUCUGUGUGUGUGUGUCUGUGUGUGUCUCUGUAUGUGUGUCUCUGUGUGUGAGAGUGUGUCUGUGUGUGUGUGUCUGUGUGUGUGAGUGUGUGAGAGAGUGUGUGUGCCUCUGUGUGUCUGUGUGUGUGUCUCUGUGUGUGUGUCUGUGUGUGUAUCUGUGUGUAUGUGUCUGUGUGUGUGUCUCUGUGUGUGUGUCUCUGUGUGUGUGUCUCUGUGUGAGUGAGUGUGUGUGCCUCUGUGUGUGUCUGUGUGUGUGUGUCUCUGUGUGUGUCUCUGUGUGUGUCAGAGUGUGUGUCUGUGUGUGUGUGUCUGUGUCUGUCUCUGUGUGUGUGAGUGUGUGAGAGAGUGUGUCUCUGUGUCUGUAUCUGUGUGUGAGUGUGUGUGUGAGUGUGAGUGUGUGUGGGUGUGAGUGACAGGGCUUCACUUUACUAUGCCCCUUGAGGCUUUGGAACUUACAAGGCUUCUCUUUUUCCCUAAUCUUCUCCCUGAACUUCUCCUCCCUGAUCUCAUUUUCUCUGAAUGUCUCCGUGAUAAACCUCGGUCUGCCCAGGGGCAGAACCGCAGCCUGGGGAACCGGACCUGUCUUGAUAUUGAACUGGCGUCGAGGACGAGGACCAAGCUCUGGUUACGUGUGUGGUGUGUGCAUUUGGUGGCCCGUUGCAGUUUCCUGUGGCUGGUGACAGCAGUGCUGGAGAGCCAGCCUCGCCCUGCGCCUCGCUCCCCGGCUCUUCCUGCCCGUCUGCUGCUGGGAUCCGCAGGGCCUUGAUACAUUUAAAACCAAAUUCCAAGUCUCCCAGCUGCUAGAAAACAUUUAAAAUUAGAAUGGGCUACAAAGGAGAAGACAACCACCCCAGUGACGGAGGCAACAAGUGUCAAUAUUGCAGGUGUUGAUACAUUGUACAGGUUUUAAAAUUUUUAUUUUGUAGCUUUAGAUUAUUCUUUUUCGCCCAAAUAACGCUUGUUCCCUAUUUUUACUUUCCCUUUUUGUCCUGAGAAUUGAAUCAGAAUGCUCUACCACUGAGCUGUACCCCCAACCCUGUUUGAGACAGGGUCUCUUAAGUUGCUGAGGGUGGCCUUGAACUUGCAACCUCCUGCCUCAGCCUCCCCCCAUGGAUCGAACGACAGGCGUGGCCACCAUGCCUGGCCUACUUAUUUCACUUUUUUUAAAAAUAUAUUUAUUUUUUUAGGUGUAGAUGGACACAACACCGGGCCUUUAAUUUUAUGUGGUGCUGAGGAUGGAACCUGGGUCCCCUCCCGCCCGUGCUAGACAGGGCUCUACCCCUGAGCCACAAUCCCAGCCCCUUAUUUCACUUUUUAAAAUGAAAGUCAAGCCACCCUGAGCUCUUUCCUCCCACACCCCAAGCUUCUCUGUGGAGCCAACAGGGUCUGAAUUCGUGGACGUCACCCUGGAGGACAGUCACCCUGGAGGACAGCCGUGGGAUCACCCCCUGUGGCAGGCCCCGCCAACUUCCCUCAGCACCACCCCUCCCGGUUUUCCACACAACUUCCUCUUUUUCUCAAGAUAAAAUAGGUCCCAACAAUGAAAACAAACACUCGGAGACGUUCACAUUCAUCUCCAAAGCGGGCCUCUGGAACGCCCUUGGUCACUUCCAGAUAUUGUGGGGGAUUCCGGUCAGGCACCCCGGCAGCCAGGACCCGCUCACUUGUUUCAAUCUAGUACUUUUCCAGCCAUCUGCAAAGUCUCCCUGCAACAGUCCUGUCCCUGGGGGUCCCUGCUCCCCCUGGCCCCGAGAAGUCAAAGCCAACAGGGUCUUGCCCACAGCCUCGAUUCAGAGGAGAGGCUGACCCCAAGAACCCAGAGUUCCCCAGGCUCUCUGAAGCAUGUCCUUGAUAGUUCACCUCCCAACUGAGGAAUGAGUGAUAAGGCAGAGGGCGGGGAGGGGCCUGCAGCCCUCCAGUGGGGCUCCUGGCUCUGGUCCCUCCUGGGUUCCCUGGUCCCUGCAUCCCAGGCGGCUGGAAGGGUCUGUGGUCCUGGGCGGAGCAGGGAGGCCAGCAUUCCUCAGAUUGUUUAUUUGUUUGUUUAAUCUGGGCUGGGCCAGGAACACCUCCUCCCGUCUGCAUUGGGUGGUAUUUGGAUUCUUGCUGCAGCCCAGAGCCCCUGUCCUGGGUUUCCCUGCUGGGCCCCGGGUGGUGCCCUACUCCAGAUGCACACUGGUGGCUACUGAGCUUUCUCCCCCGCCCCCCCCCUGCCCCCGUGCUGGGCUGGACCUAGGGCCUCACGAAUGCUGGACAGCGCUGACCACUGAGUGCUACCGCCCUGUUUGCUUUUGUCCCACGCAUUCAGUCCCUAAGUCCCUAGGCCUCCCAGCCUUGCCCUGUGGCCCCUAUGACCCUCUGCAGACCCUCCCCAGCUCAAAGUCACCUACCAUGUGGGACAACCACUGUCCAGCCAGCACACGGCUCCUGUCCCUCCCAACUUGGUGGCCGAGGAUGACCGAGAUGGGAAGAUGAGAUUCCUGCUGCCGGCAGCCAGCACUCACAGGGGUCAGCCAUCCGUCCCCAGAGCCUGUGUUUGGGCCCAGCACUGCCCUGGAGGGUCCCAGCAGGUGGCCUGCGUGGGAACCACCCCCAAAGGCUGAGCUUGUGGAAUCCUGGGAUGGUAGCAGCAGGUAGGUGUGCCUUCCUGGGUGACGCACACCCAGACACCUUGCCUCUGGUGGAGUCAUGCACAUCGAGGCCUGGGCGGCCCCGGAGGGAGGCUGAGGUGCCCGCUGUGGCCUCGGAGGAGGGGUUGGGGAGUGGAUCCCCUUCCUGCAGACUUGGACCCUCGGGGAAGGAAAAGCAGGGUGGCGCGUAGGGUGGUGGACCGUCCCCCAGCAUGCCCCUGCUCUGAGGUCUCCCCAGCACUGCAGAAAAAGAGAAGAAAAGCAGGUGGUUGUCCUCAGGGAACUGGGGACUGAGGAUCACCUCCACCCUCCCCUGGUCUGAGCACUUCCAGGGCCAGCAUCCUGUCCCCAGAACAUGGCCCCGGCUCAGCACCCCUGGGCGACACUCAGCCCCUGACCCGCCCGGGAUGGCCAGCACAGACCUGAGCCCACACCCUGCUGCCUAGUCAGUGGUCAAGUGGACACAGACUGGAACCUCAGAAUCUGAGCCAAAGAAACCCUUCUUCCUCUACGUUGAUUUUCUUUCUUUCUUUUUUUCUUUCUUUCCUUCCUUCUUUCUAGAAAUAGAAUUUUAUUGUAUCUUUUAAGUAACUGUGGUACAGGGUGGUGGCUCAGCGGUAGAGCACUCGCCUAGCAUGCUAAGGGUUCGACCCUUAGCACCACAUACAAAAUAAAACAAAAUAGAGAUAUUGUGUCCACCUAUAACUAAAAAAUAAAUAUUAAAAAAGUAACUGUUGCACAAAGAAACUACAAAUUAUGAACUCCAGAAUGCUUCCAAAUAAUUUAUUUUCACAUGAAUUUUUUUUUAAAUCUACUACACGGGUAAGUAUUAUUGUCUUUUUUUUUUUAAGAGCGAGCGAGAGAGAAUUUUAAUAUUUAUUUUAUAGUUUUCAGUGGACACAACAUCUUUGUUUGUAUGUGGUGCUGAGGAUCGAACCCGGGCCUCGUGCAUGCCAGGCGAGCGCGCUACUGCUUGAGCCACAUCCCCAGCCCAUGAUUUGGUUUUUUAUCAAGCAAAUUUUCUUUGCAAACCUUUAUUUAUAUAUCUGUUAUUAUUUUUAGUGAACUGUAGCUAUACGUAAUAGUGGAGUUCAUUUGACAUAUUUAUAAAUGCAUGUAAAAUAGUUUUGUCCAUUUCCAUUCCCAUCAUUCUCCCUUCCCUCCCUUUCACCCUUCACCUGAGAAGCUGAUUUUCUUUUUAUUUGUUUUCUCUUGUUUCAUUGUUUCUAAGCUGAUUUUCUCAUGUAUUUUGUCACAGUGACGGAACUGACUAACACUGUUAGUGAACAGAGGAGCCACUGAAUCCAGGGUACAUCUGGGCAAAGCUGUUUAAGCAUGACCUUAGUGAGACAGUCAGAUGAUACGUCUUAGAUGAUCUUAGUUGGCACAGUCCAGGGGCAUGUGGUACAUUCAGAGGUGCAGGAAUCACCUCUACCUGAUUCUAGAGCAUUCUUGUCACCACAAAGGGAGGACUCCUGCCUAUGAGCAGCCAGCCCCCUGUCCCUCCCAGCCCUGCACCCACAGGUCCACGUCCUGUCUCUCCAUUCCUGUCCUGGACUCUCCUGUCAUGGGGUCACACUGGCUGUCACUGAGCAUGAGGUCCUCAGAUCCCUCCACACUGCAGCUGUCCCCUCGCUCCUGCUGGUGUCCGAGAAUGCUCCAGGUGGAUGAGCAGUACCUCUCCACCUAAGUGUGGACAGCAGGGCCACCCCCCGAUGUGUGGGCUUUGGUGGACAUCUGUUUUCAGGCAUCGGGGUGCCUUGGGUAGCAGCACCUGCUUUACCUUGGUCCUGCUAGCAAGUACCGUCCUGUACCCUGAGGACGGAGCCUGGAGCCGGGGCUCUAACAGAAUGCCUCAGCUGCCACCUGGGUCCCCAUCCCCACUGCCCCCUCCUAGAGCAGUCAGGGACGCCCUCAGAGCUGCGAAGGGCACAGCAAGUCUCCAUCAGGCGCCCAGCAGGGAGGUUGAGAAAUUCCAACAAGUCCAGGCAGCCUCAUGGUGAGCUGCGCCCUGGAGAGACCUGCUGGGGCUGUUUGCCCUGAUGCUGAGUCUGGAGGCCACGCUCCUGACAACGGUGAGCAUCUGUCUGGGGCCCCUGCAUGGCUUCUGGCUGGUGCUUUCCGCCUAGAAUGGGAGAGAGGAAGGGGAGGGUCCUGGGCGCCUGCUCCUGGCCCAGCGCCUUCACCCCCCUCAGGCCUCCCUGCAACUGGGGAGACUGAGGCUGGGUCAGUCUCUCGGAAGCUUGGGGCGGUGGGCACAGGGCUGGAGCAGCCCACCUGGACCUCCGUCGGCCUGCGGGGCUGGAAUGAGCAGCACAGGAGACCCUCAGCAAGGCAGUGUGCUCCAGAGGUGGACCCAGAUGGAGGUGCCCACACACCGACCGCCCGGGGUGCCUCCAUGGCCUUGUCCACAGCAGCCCAAACCUGGGGGCACCUGAGACUCCCGGUGGGUGAGACAGAUGGGCCCAGACGGACGGCUGGAAAGAAAGAGCUCCUGAGCCAUGAUGAGCCGGGAGCACCCCUAAGGGAGGCCCCAGGCUGCAGAGGCCACGCCCUGGGCAACUCCAGCCUGACAUCCUGGAGAGGGCAGAAGUGUGCCCACAGCCCAGACCUGGGGGCCGGCGGGGGCCAGGACGGCAGGCAGAGCCUGGAGGACUUCUCAGGCCCCGGAAGGUCUGGUUCAGUCUGCGGACAGGUGUCCUUUAUCAAGAUCCCAGCCACGUGCGGCUCCCGAGGGAACCUCAAGUAAACCUGUGAGUGUCGCUGAGGACCACGUAUCCAAGUUGGCUCACCCACAGGUGGGGCGGCCGGACACUUCCCGUCCCCUGCCCCACUUUCCUGUCCACUUAGGGCUGCUCAAGAAAUAGGCUCUUGGGCGGGGCUGGGGCUCAGGGCCGAGCGCUGGCCCAGCACGUGUGAGGCACUGGAUCCGACUCUCAGCACCGCAGAUGAAACAGACGGACAGACAGACAGAUGAAAUAAAGGUCCAUUAACAACUACAGAAAUCUAAAAAGUAAAUGAAGUCUCCAACAAAGGGACUGCGGGUGAGGACCAGUGUGGGCGGGGCCUGGGCCUGGUCCCUAGCCCUGCAGAGGCCACCGAGGUCCAUCUGUGGCCGCGGGGUGGGGGCCGGCCGCUGUGGGUCACUGAUGCUGGACUGUGGCCGGCAGCCCUGCACACUGGUGGGCACCGGCACCUCCCUCUGCCCACUCCUGGGACCGCAGGACU
Long non-coding RNA from Marmota monax (woodchuck), 8392 nucleotides. RefSeq lists it as uncharacterized. Lineage: Eukaryota; Metazoa; Chordata; Mammalia; Rodentia; Sciuridae. The record is from RefSeq and is a predicted model, not a curated record. The transcript is spliced from 3 exons.